RNAcentral lists this ribosomal RNA (256 nucleotides) under uncultured bacterium. RNAcentral's name for it is "partial 16S ribosomal RNA". It matches the Rfam family "Bacterial small subunit ribosomal RNA", at positions 524 to 776 of the family's 1533-position model. The record is from RNAcentral.
UACGUAGGGGGCUAGCGUUGUCCGGAAUUACUGGGCGUAAAGGGCGCGUAGGCGGUGUGUCAAGUCAGGCGUGAAAGCCCCGGGCUCAACCUGGGAACAGCGCUUGAGACUGGCACGCUCGAGUUCGGGAGAGGAUGGUGGAAUUCCCAGUGUAGAGGUGAAAUUCGUAGAUAUUUGGGAAGAACACCGAUGGGCGAAGGCAGCCAUCUGGACCGACACUGACGCUGAGGCGCGAAAGCGUGGGGGAGCAAACAGG